RNAcentral lists this ribosomal RNA (429 nucleotides) under bacterium. RNAcentral's name for it is "partial 16S ribosomal RNA". It matches the Rfam family "Bacterial small subunit ribosomal RNA", at positions 355 to 776 of the family's 1533-position model. The record is from RNAcentral.
UAGGGAAUCUUCCACAAUGGACGCAAGUCCGAUGGAGCAACGCCGCGUGAGUGAAGAAGGUUUUCGGAUCGUAAAGCUCUGUUGUUGGUGCAGAAGGAUAGAGGCUGUAACUGGUCUUUAUUUGACGGUAAUCAACCAGAAAGUCACGGCUAACUACGUGCCAGCCGCCGCGGUAAUACGUAGGUGGCAAGCGUUGUCCGGAUUGAUUGGGCGCAAAGCGAGCCCAGGCGGAAUGAUAAGUCUGAUGUGAAAGCCCACGGCUCAACCGUGCAACUGCAUCGGAAACUGUCAUUCUUGAGUGCAGAAGAGGAGAGUCGAAUUCCAUGUGUAGCGGUGGAAUGCGUAGAUAUAUGGAAGAACACCAGUGGCGAAGGCGGCUCUCUGGUCUGCAACUGACGCUGAGGCUCGAAAGGAUGGGUAGCGAACAGG